UGGGGAAUAUUGGACAAUGGGCGCAAGCCUGAUCCAGCCAUGCCGCGUGAGUGACGAAGGCCUUAGGGUUGUAAAGCUCUUUUGGCGGGGAAGAUAAUGACGGUACCCGCAGAAUAAGCUCCGGCUAACUUCGUGCCAGCAGCCGCGGUAAUACGAAGGGAGCUAGCGUUGUUCGGAAUCACUGGGCGUAAAGCGCACGUAGGUGGGCAGUUAAGUCAGGGGUGAAAUCCCGGAGCUCAACUUCGGAACUGCCUUUGAUACCGGCAAUCUCGAGUCCGAUAGAGGUGGGUGGAAUUCCUAGUGUAGAGGUGAAAUUCGUAGAUAUUAGGAAGAACACCGGUGGCGAAGGCGGCCCACUGGAUCGGUACUGACGCUGAGGUGCGAAAGCGUGGGGAGCAAACAGGAUUAGAUACCCAGGUAGUCCCUGAGCGGGCUGGCAAGGCGCAU
Molecule: ribosomal RNA, 447 nt
Filed under: uncultured bacterium
Lineage: Bacteria
Description: bacterial SSU rRNA
Rfam family: Bacterial small subunit ribosomal RNA
Source: RNAcentral